AGAGUUUGAUCCUGGCUCAGAUUGAACGCUGGCGGCAUGCCUUACACAUGCAAGUCGAACGGUAACGCGGGGGCAACCCUGGCGACGAGUGGCGAACGGGUGAGUAAUACAUCGGAACAUAUCCAGUAGCGGGGGAUAACCUAUCGAAAGAUGGACUAAUACCGCAUACGACCUACGGAUGAAAGCAGGGGACCGCAAGGCCUUGCACUAUUGGAGUGGCCGAUGUCGGAUUAGCUAGUUGGUGGGGUAAAAGCUUACCAAGGCGACGAUCCGUAGCUGGUCUGAGAGGACGAUCAGCCACACUGGAACUGAGACACGGUCCAGACUCCUACGGGAGGCAGCAGUGGGGAAUUUUGGACAAUGGGCGCAAGCCUGAUCCAGCCAUGCCGCGUGAGUGAAGAAGGCCUUCGGGUUGUAAAGCUCUUUCGGUGAAGACGAAACGGUUCAUGCUAAUAACGUGAACUAAUGACGGUACUCACAGAAGAAGCACCGGCUAACUACGUGCCAGCAGCCGCGGUAAUACGUAGGGUGCAGGCGUUAAUCGGAAUUACUGGGCGUAAAGCGUGCGCAGGCGGUUUGCUAAGACAGGUGUGAAAUCCCCGGGCUUAACCUGGGAAUUGCGCUUGUAACUGGCAAGCUAGAGUGUGGCAGAGGGGGGUGGAAUUCCACGUGUAGCAGUGAAAUGCGUAGAUAUGUGGAGGAACACCGAUGGCGAAGGCAGCCCCCUGGUUAACACUGACGCUCAUGCACGAAAGCGUGGGGAGCAAACAGGAUUAGAUACCCUGGUAGUCCACGCCCUAAACUAUGUCAACUAGUUGUCGGGGAAGAAAUUCCUUGGUAACGAAGCUAACGCGUGAAGUUGACCGCCUGGGGAGUACGGCCGCAAGGUUAAAACUCAAAGGAAUUGACGGGGACCCGCACAAGCGGUGGAUUAUGUGGAUUAAUUCGAUGCAACGCGAAAAACCUUACCUACCCUUGACAUGCUAGGAAGCCCGCAGAGAUGUGGGUGUGCCCGAAAGGGAACCUAGACACAGGUGCUGCAUGGCUGUCGUCAGCUCGUGUCGUGAGAUGUUGGGUUAAGUCCCGCAACGAGCGCAACCCUUGCCAUUAGUUGCUACAUUCAGUUGGGCACUCUAAUGGGACCGCCGGUGACAAACCGGAGGAAGGUGGGGAUGACGUCAAGUCCUCAUGGCCCUUAUGGGUAGGGCUUCACACGUAAUAUAAUGGUCGGUACAGAGGGCUGCUAACCCGCAAGGGGGAGCUAAUCCCAGAAAGCCGAUCGUAGUCCGGAUUGUAGUCUGCAACUCGACUGCAUGAAGCCGGAAUCGCUAGUAAUCGCGGAUCAGCAUGUCGCGGUGAAUACGUUCCCGGGUCUUGUACACACCGCCCGUCACACCAUGGGAGUGGGUUCCACCAGAAGUAGUUAGCCUAACCGCAAGGA
Molecule: ribosomal RNA, 1441 nt
Filed under: metagenome
Description: bacterial SSU rRNA
Rfam family: Bacterial small subunit ribosomal RNA
Source: RNAcentral